GGUGCCAGUAGUUCAGGGGUAGAGCGCCAGAUUGUGGAUCUGGUUGUCGUGGGUUCAAAUCCCACCCGGCACCC
Molecule: transfer RNA, 74 nt
Filed under: Treponema sp.
Lineage: Bacteria; Pseudomonadati; Spirochaetota; Spirochaetia; Treponematales; Treponemataceae
Also listed under: 1 other name
Description: tRNA-His
Rfam family: tRNA
About the family: Transfer RNA (tRNA) molecules are approximately 80 nucleotides in length.
Source: RNAcentral